AAAAAUAAAAUGCUUUCAACGAGCACAUUGCUAUAAAAAAUAUCAGAUUAACUUGCUGCAUUUACAGAAGGAAGCUCUUCCUCGUGCAAUAUUCCUUCUCCUGGUCUUUCCUCAUACAAUAUUCCUUCUCAUCCACUGGCUCUGGUCUAAAAUCUCCAUGUCUGCUUUGUAUCCCUUUUUUUUCCUGGCUUGGUUUAGUGUGCUGAUACUCUUCGGAGUCGUAGAUAGGAGAAUGGGAUUGCUCCACUUGCCUGCAAUCCUUUUCAAUUACGGUCUCUGUAUAGAACUCGCUAUCUGAUUUCAUGUCUUAAGGUUUAGGGAAAAGUUUUCCUGCGAACUCGGUGGAGAUUAUAUGCAAGAGUAGAGUGAAAGUAGAGACAGAGCAAUUGAGGAGGUGAGCGAGCCGUUUGACACAAAACUUCAUAGCACAUGGAUUCAUUUUUGGCAGAAGAGAGAAAUCUUCAAAUCUUUCAUCUAUAAUCUAUUUGCGGGUACACAUACGGUUCUCGAUGCUUCACGACUAAGUGAUUUCAGCGCAUGCACAAAAGACUUGGGAAGACUAAGAUACAUGCAUGUCAGUUUUGUUGUCUUGACAAUAUGAAACUGGAAGUUGCUAUUGACGAUUGAAAUUGCAGUUACUGUGAUGAAGAAGAAUAAAAAUCAUUGUGAUGAAGGAGAACAGUCAUGGAUCUCGUCAUGGACAGUGAUUAAGGAGGGUUGUAGGAGCCAUCGCAUUCUCCUAUAUACGGCUCUGAAGAAUAUCAUCACACUAAUGCAAAAUCCAAAAAAAUUAGGGUUAUAAACAAGAGCAGACUUGGAGAUUUUAGAUUGGAGCCAGGGGAUGAGAAUGAAUAUUGCAAUGAGAAAUCUCAUUCUCCUUCUUUUAUUCGAGAGAAGGUAAUGAUACUAAGGUUAGGAAAAUAAAAUUAGGUUCAUAAAGAAGGUUGGACAUGAAAGCUAAAGCCAGUGGCGAAGCCAGGAAAAGAAAGAAAGAGAUGGGUAAUGAGGGUGGGAGAGAAAAAGAAAUCAGUUGGACAUAAAAGCACUGAUGAGGUAGAGCAGUCGCUGAAGAGGAAGAGUGAAGAUAGAAUCAGUGUCGAAGCUAAGAAAAGAAAGAAAGACAUGGAUAAUGAGGGUGGGAGAGAAAAGAAAUCAGUUGGACAUGAAAGCUCUAAUGAGGCAGAGCAGUCACUGAAGAGAAAGAGUGAAGUUAGAGCCAGUGGUGAAGCCAGGAAAAGAAAGAAAGAGAUGGGUAAUGAGGGUGGGAGAGAAAAAGAAAUCAGUUGGACAUAAAAGCACUGAUGAGGUAGAGCAGUCACUGAAGAGGAAGAGUGAAGAUAGAAUCAGUGUCGAAGCUAAGAAAAGAAAGAAAGACAUGGAUAAUGAGGGUGGGAGAGAAAAGAAAUCAGUUGGACAUGAAAGCUCUAAUGAGGCAGAGCAGUCACUGAAGAGAAAGAGUGAAGUUAGAGCCAGUGGCGAAGCUAGGAAAAGAAAGAAAGCGAUGGAUAAUGAGGGUGGAAAGAAAAGAAAUCAGAAUCCAAUUUUGAACCUGUAAAUAAGAUCAAGAGAAUUGUUCAUUUUGGAGACAAUUUUGAAAAUUCUAGGAGCAACAUAAAUGACACAAAAAUGAAAGAAAUGUGGGACAAAAUUUCUGGAGACUCGAAGUCAAAGAAUCAUUGAAGAUGAUGCAUUUAUUGAUGAUGCUAGGGUUGAUCCCCAUGGCCGUAUUAUCACUGCUGAUGAUUUUAUCCAUAAUGCUCCACAGGUAGAGGAAGGAGAGGAAGAUGAUGAAAUCGACAACCUUAUUAAAUCUAAGAAGAUGAAAAAGAAAGGAUUUGUAUGCUCACCACAGGAAACUGCAAUGCUUAUUGAGCAAUUUCUGGCUAAGUUUGAAGUUGCAGCCGAGGAAGAUAUCGAGUUCAACUGGCAAUCCAGACAGCAAUUAAUAAGCUUAAAAUGUUACCUCUGCUAACUGAGGCCCUGUCCAAGUGAGAUGUUCUAUGGUUAUGAUGUGCCUUGUCCAAAGGGAAUGUGCUCUGUGUUUAGCUUUCCAACCUAUCAGUAUUGUUGUAAAACAAUUGGCUGUUCCAGGCAACAGUUGCAGCAAGAAUUCUUAGACUUAGGGAUACUUCUCGUUUUAAAGAAUUGUGUUGAGCUGCUGCCAGAUGGAUGUUUGCCUAAUAUAAAUCUUCAGACUACAAUAUUGAAGAUCUUAACAGAUGUGAGGCGAUAUCUUUUAUAUCUGACUUCUUUACCUGUUUUAUUACAAUUGCAGUCUCAGAAAUUCUCUCAUGGUUACCAACUUACCAGUAAACAUUGAACAGUUUGUUAGGAGGAACUACUUAAGAAAAGUAGAAUUGGAAAGAUUACCAUGUUACUGUCAAAUUCAGAUGAGCAGAUACCAUCUAAUAGAAAGCUUGCAAAAGAUCUCGUUGACAAAUGGGUAAUUGAAAAAAUAAUAAAAAUGUGAGGUUUUAUUUUUCUUCAAGUCUUAGGGACCCUGAUUGUUUGAUUUUAAUUGUUGUAUUUUUUAAACUGUCUUGUUUGUGGAAUGAGGGGAUGAAUAGGCUAAAUUGAUCCCAUGAGAUACAGAUCCAACCAAUAAUCUAAAAGAGUACUAGAUAUGAAGACAUGAGAGCCUUUGGUGAAGAAAGAGUUCCUUAUAGAAGGCCACCACCAAGCAAAUGAAGCAAUAACUGAAGAAAGGCUAUGGCGUUGAGGUUUGAAGAUGAUGGUGAUGGUUUUGAUUUUUCAGAACUUUCACAAUAAGUCUCACAUUUUAACUUUUAUCCUUAAGUAAGGUGUUUUAAUUUAUACAGUUCUUGCAUUGACCUAUUUCAUAAUUUUAACUGUAAUUUUGAAUGUUUUAUAGGGAACCUAACAGACUUACUAAAGUAUGUGGUGUGUCCUCAAUCAAAGAUUGAUCCAGGAGAAAUCUGAGCUCGUAACAAUAUGAACGGUGGAGAAAGUUAGAUUUCCAUGAAUCUGUUAUGAUUUAAACCUAGGAUCUCACAUUUUCUAUCAGGAUGUUCUCUAACCACUUGUAAAGUGGCUGGAGAACAUCCUGCCAAUUUACAGUCUAGAUUGUAAAUUGUUAACUGCACCACAACCCUCUCCUCUCCUUGCUCUGCCCUUUGCUCCCAAUCUACCAAUACCCUCUAUAUCAGAUAUCAGAUUCAAAAACUUCAAUUCGUUUUUCCAUCAAUAGACAAUUCACUUUUCUCUUUCUAGAUUAGCUUGUAGGCUUUACAGAUUAUAGUUACAAAAUUACACAUUUUCACAACAUUCCCAGUUUUAAAUUUUUUUUUUU
Molecule: long non-coding RNA, 3310 nt
Organism: Cryptomeria japonica (Japanese cedar)
Lineage: Eukaryota; Viridiplantae; Streptophyta; Pinopsida; Cupressales; Cupressaceae
Exons: 7
Source: RefSeq, a predicted model, not a curated record